UUCAAGCAGUUUAUGAGGCAAAGUGAAGACUAGGCUGAUAUGUUGCACAGCUGAUGGCUUAUUUCAGCACCUACAGCAUAACAGAUCCAGCAUACAGCCAGGACAUGGAGCAGCCAAUGUCACAGUUGCAGUCAUUGCUUCUGGCAGCACUGCUAUCUCUACAGUGGGAGACACCCAUGGAUGUUGAUCUCGUGCUGCCACCAACAUCAGUCAUGCUGGCAGCCCAUGACACAGCUAUAUCAGGUUCUUACCCAGUAACUCAGUUGGAUGCCCUGGAGGACCCAUAUAUCACCUCUAAUGGCCUGUCAUCUUGUCUGCACCUACUUCCGCAAUUGCAUUGGUGGUCCCCCCUGCUGUCAUGUCUCAUCUUCAUAUCUAAAGAUGGGACAUAUGUUUGGGAGGGGAGGGGGAAUGCGGCGCCAUCAACUACUGACAUUGGCACAAGAAUUAUUGACCACCACAGAGAUACUGCACACCAAAGUGGUAACACGAGGCAUUGAUGAGGAGCUAGGAAGAAGCAAUGCCUUUCGUAUUUCCAAGGCACCGCUGCUGUGCCUCUGUAUGGAAAUAGCAUCACCAGAAGCCAGAACUGCAAUUUUGUUUGUGGUCAGAUCUUGCCCACUUCUAGGAAGUUCCUGUCAGAGUAACGCUGUUGUGCUGCCUAGUUGUCAUGACAGAGCUUGUGUCAGCUGUCGAGGAGUGAAGAGACUUCCAACUCCCAUGAACUGUGCCUAUGUGCUAAUGCUAUCAGCAUUAUAUCAACAAGUGUCUAUGAACUUGUGUUUUCUAUUGACUGUAGUGAAACCACAGUAUGGCUGUUCUGAAUUGUAUGAAUUUGCCACUCAGCAAUCAUGGCUCAUUUAGUGUGUCCCGAACCGCAAGUGCAUGUGUGCAGUCUCAUAGUUACCCCUGAGCCUGUUGGCGAGAAGACCUCGUCUUCUAAGCUGUGUCCUGCUCUGAGAACUGCUUGUGCAAUGGUCAGAAAGGUACUCCCUGCCUUCCCAGUCUGCAUAAAGUUCUUCUUCCAGUCUUGGAAGAGUACUGACAGCGGUAAUCAUUGUAUCAUAUACAUUCUGAAGAGCUUCACUAAAUGCAUUAAAUGAUGGUUCAAACAUUAUAACUUUAUUUCUCUGCAGAACUUUUAUCACAAAACCAGGAUUUGUGUGCUGUAAAAACACAGAAAAUAGAAAGAAUAUUUUAUCAAAGAAUUAACAAUGACAAAGAGGAUAAAAAUUAUUAUAACCUAAAAGUAUACUGAUGAGAAAAAAUAUCACAAUGCCAAGAAGAAGUUGUGAGAUGUAAACAAAAGUUUGUUUGUGUUUCCAGAUCUGAAAUGUAAUAGCUAUUCAAAUUUCAUGCCAGUGGCAUAAGAGUGGCACUAGUAGCGCCAUUAUGAGGAUGAAAAUCAUGUUUCCUGGUUCGGCCAUGAGUGUUAAUUACCUGUGAGAUUGGACAUGAUGCAUUGAUGUUAUUAAAGAAUGCCUUUAUGGCAACAAAGAAACCAUUGUGAAUACCUCACUGAAUUUGAUCAAGGUCAUGUAACAGGGCUAUGAGAAACUGGAUGUUGUUACUGCAAUACUGCAGAAAGACUUGCCAGGAAUGUGUCCACUGCACCUGAUUGCUGACACCACUGGUUAUGAAAACAUAUGGUCACAAGAAGACUGGACUCUAGCAGGUCACGUUGCAGCACUGACAGGAAAGACCGUCAUUUUAGGUGUAUGGCUCUGAUGCAGAACACUGCAUUUGUAGCAACAAUUUGAGCUGCAGUUGGUACCACAGUGACACAAAAAACUGUUGCAAGUCACUUACUUCAAGAACAGCUCUGAGCCAGAUGCCCUCUAGUGCACAUUCCACUGACCCCCAACCACUGUCAUUUGUUACUUCAGUGGCAUCAAGCGAGAGCUCACUGGAGGACAGGGUGGACGUUUCAUGUACUUUCUGAUAAAAGCUGCUUCUGUCCCGGCACCAGUGGUGGCUCUGCAUUCAUUAGAACGUGGCCAGUUGAGCACCUGCAACUAACCUGCCUGCGAGCUGCACACACCGAACGUACACCUGGAGUUAUAGCCUGGGGUGUGAUUUCAUACGAAAGCAGGAGCACUCUCAUAGCUAUCCCACACAUCCUGACUGCAAAACCAUAUGUCAGUCUGAUGAUUUGAGCUGUUAUGCUGCCAUCCAUGAACAGCAUUCCAGGGGGUGUUUUCCCACUGGAUAAUGCUCACACACAUACUACUGUUGUAAUGCAACAUGCUCUACAGUGUAUUGGCAUGUUGCCUUAGCCUGCUCAAACACCGGAUCUGCCUCGAGUCGAGCACAUUUGGGACAUCAUCAGAUGACAACUCCAGCAUCAUCCACAAACAGCGUUAACUGUCCCUCUACUGGCCAGUCAAGUGCAACAGGCAUGGAACUCCAUCCCAUUAACUGACAUUUAGCACCUGUACAAUACAAUGCAUGCACAUUUGCAUUCAACAAUCUGAUACUUACACCAGUUAGUAUUCUACCAGCAUUUCAAAUUUUCAA
Molecule: long non-coding RNA, 2517 nt
Organism: Schistocerca nitens (vagrant locust)
Lineage: Eukaryota; Metazoa; Arthropoda; Insecta; Orthoptera; Acrididae
Exons: 4
Source: RefSeq, a predicted model, not a curated record